AUGGACGGCGGGGGCGACGGGGCCCAGGGCCUGGAGGAGCAGGCGGCGGCGGCGGCCGAGGCGGCGCGGGAGCUGCGGGACGCGGCGGCGGCCCUCGCCGUGCGCCGCGCCGCCGACGAGGACGCGCUGCGCCGCCGCGCCGUCGCGCUGGACGCCGACGUCCGACGCCUCCAGGGCUCCCUCGCCCCCCUCGACCCCGCCACGCUCGACAAGGUCGAGGAGGAACUGGAGCGUGCCAGGGCAGCAAUCUUAGACGGCGACGUGGCUGCGUUUCUCCCAAGCAAGGGAAACGGAAAGUUCCUCAAGAAGUUUGUUGGCCCUGUGAAUGUGCGGGUGGCAAGGAAGGAGGAAAAGCUCAAAGUGAAGGACGAGUACAACAAUUAUAGGGAUAGGGCUGCCUAUAUGUUCCUGUUGUUUCCAUCCACUCUCCUCUUACUGAGAUGGUGGGUGUGGGAUGGGUGCCUUCCAGCAUUGGCAGUUCAGGUGUACCAGGCUUGGUUAUUAUUCCUCUACACAAGUUUUGCUUUGAGGGAGAAUGUGUUGCUUGUAAAUGGAAGCGAUAUCCGUCCUUGGUGGAUAUACCACCACUAUUUAGCAAUGCUAAUGGCUCUUGUUAGCCUUACAUGGGAGAUAAAGGGACAGCCUGAUUGCUCGAGUAAGCAGAGAGGGGUACAGCUUUUCUUGCGUUGGGCAAUCAUGCAAGGAAUUGCAAUGCAUCUCCAGAAUAGGUACCAGCGUCAAAGAUUACGCACCCGAAUUGCUCUGGGAAAGGCUAAAAGAAUGGAUGUCGUCGCUGGAGAAACAGCUGGUGUGGAAGGGCAGCUAUUGCUACUAUAUCCUGUUCUCUUUGUAUUACAGGGGUUUGAAGCAUAUGUUGGAGUGUUGCUUCUUCAGACCGCGUGGCACGGGCUCACCUCUGAAUGGCAGGUCAUAGUGUGUGGGAUCUUGCUGGUGGUGAUGGCGGUUGGUAACUUCGUCAACACGGUGGAGACUCUGGCCCUGAAACUGAGGUUCAAAGCAAAGAUGAAGAGGACGAGGCCCAGGCAGGACCCGGGCCAGGGCGGUGCGAAUCGCCUGCAUCAAAAUUGA
RNAcentral lists this ribosomal RNA (1089 nucleotides) under Triticum aestivum (bread wheat). RNAcentral describes it as "partial small subunit ribosomal RNA". The record is from RNAcentral. Lineage: Eukaryota; Viridiplantae; Streptophyta; Magnoliopsida; Poales; Poaceae.